RNAcentral lists this ribosomal RNA (309 nucleotides) under uncultured bacterium. Its description in RNAcentral is "partial 16S ribosomal RNA". It matches the Rfam family "Bacterial small subunit ribosomal RNA", at positions 504 to 807 of the family's 1533-position model. The record is from RNAcentral.
AGAGACAGCAGCCGCCACGGUAAUACAGAGGGUGCGAGCGUUAAUCGGAUUUACUGGGCGUAAAGCGUGCGUAGGCGGCUUUUUAAGUCGGAUGUGAAAUCCCUGAGCUUAACUUAGGAAUUGCAUUCGAUACUGGGAAGCUAGAGUAUGGGAGAGGAUGGUAGAAUUCCAGGUGUAGCGGUGAAAUGCGUAGAGAUCUGGAGGAAUACCGAUGGCGAAGGCAGCCAUCUGGCCUAAUACUGACGCUGAGGUACGAAAGCAUGGGGAGCAAACAGGAUUAGAUACCCCUGUAGUCCCUGUCUCUUAUAC